AUUGAACGCUGGCGGCAGGCCUAACACAUGCAAGUCGAGCGGCAGCACGGGGAGCUUGCUCCCUGGUGGCGAGCGGCGGACGGGUGAGUAAUGCAUAGGAAUCUGCCCGGUAGUGGGGGAUAACGUGGGGAAACCCACGCUAAUACCGCAUACGUCCUACGGGAGAAAGCGGAGGAUCUUCGGACUUCGCGCUAUCGGAUGAGCCUAUGUCGGAUUAGCUAGUUGGUAAGGUAACGGCUUACCAAGGCGACGAUCCGUAGCUGGUCUGAGAGGAUGAUCAGCCACACUGGGACUGAGACACGGCCCAGACUCCUACGGGAGGCAGCAGUGGGGAAUAUUGGACAAUGGGCGAAAGCCUGAUCCAGCCAUGCCGCGUGUGUGAAGAAGGCUUUCGGGUUGUAAAGCACUUUCAGCGAGGAAGAAAGCCUCUGGAUUAAUACCCCAGAGGAAGGACAUCACUCGCAGAAGAAGCACCGGCUAACUCCGUGCCAGCCGCCGCCGUAACAC
Molecule: ribosomal RNA, 507 nt
Filed under: uncultured bacterium
Lineage: Bacteria
Description: bacterial SSU rRNA
Rfam family: Bacterial small subunit ribosomal RNA
Source: RNAcentral